Molecule: transfer RNA, 83 nt
Filed under: Anaerobutyricum soehngenii
Lineage: Bacteria; Bacillati; Bacillota; Clostridia; Lachnospirales; Lachnospiraceae
Also listed under: 5 other names
Description: tRNA-Tyr
Rfam family: tRNA
About the family: Transfer RNA (tRNA) molecules are approximately 80 nucleotides in length. Their secondary structure includes four short double-helical elements and three loops (D, anti-codon, and T loops). Further hydrogen bonds mediate the characteristic L-shaped molecular structure. tRNAs have two regions of fundamental functional importance: the anti-codon, which is responsible for specific mRNA codon recognition, and the 3' end, to which the tRNAs corresponding amino acid is attached (by aminoacyl-tRNA synthetases). tRNAs cope with the degeneracy of the genetic code in two manners: having more than one tRNA (with a specific anti-codon) for a particular amino acid; and 'wobble' base-pairing, i.e. permitting non-standard base-pairing at the 3rd anti-codon position.
Source: RNAcentral
GGGUAGGUCGCAUAGUGGCAAUUGCAGCGGACUGUAAAUCCGCCGACUUUAAGUCUACGCCAGUUCGAGUCUGGCCCUGCCCA